RNAcentral lists this ribosomal RNA (507 nucleotides) under Candida tropicalis. RNAcentral's name for it is "eukaryotic LSU rRNA". The stretch from base 190 to 343 matches the Rfam family "5.8S ribosomal RNA". Lineage: Eukaryota; Fungi; Ascomycota; Pichiomycetes; Serinales; Debaryomycetaceae. The record is from RNAcentral.
GAAAAAGUGGGAACAAGGUUUCCGUAGGGGGACCUGCGGAAGGACUAUCAAUGAUUUGUUUAAUUGCACCAAAAUGGGUUUUUAUUGAACAAAUUUUUUUGGUGGCGGGAGCAAUCCCACCGCCAGAGGUUAUANCUAAACCAAACUUUUUAUUNACCAUCAAACUUGAUUUAUUAUGACAAUGGUCCAAACGAUAGACCACGGAUAUCUUGGUUCUUGGGUCGAAGAAGAACGCCGAGAAAUGCGAUACGUAAUAAGAUUUGCAGAUUUUCGUGAAUCAUCGAAUUUUUGGAGGCACAUUGCGCCCUUUGGGAUUUCAAAGGGCAAGCCNGGUUGAGGGUCAUUUCUGCCUCAAACCCCCGGGUUUGGCGGUCACCAAUAAGCUAGGUUUGUUUGAAAGAAUUUAACGUGGAAACUUAUUUUAAUCUACUUAGGUUUUCCAAAAACGCUAUUUUGCUAGGGCCACCACAAUUUAUUUCAAACUUGACCCAAAUCAGGUAGGAUACC